UUUCAUGCAUGUUGAAAUUGGACCAUUUUUAGCCUUUGUUGCUUGAUAAACCUGAGUAGUGCGGAAUCUUUGAAUGGUAUUAAAAGUCUGAUUAGUGCUGUUCCUUUCAAAUAUGAAUUAGAACUAUUUGUGAUACUAGCAUGUUGGAGUCAUACCUUUUUUAGCCUUUAUUUCUUAGUCAAUUUGAGCCUGUAAUCUUUUUGACUGAAUUUUUUUUUCUAUUUCUUUUUUGGGUUCUAAACUUAAAGUGAUAUGAAUUUUAUAAAUAAAUGAGAUUAUUAGCCAUGAUCUUGUGUCGUUUAUAAUUAAUAAUGUAGUAUCCUUUUAUAUAUAGAAUUAGGCUGGAAUACUAUUAAUAGUAAAACGCUCUUUUUGCUAUCAAGUUUUUAACCCUUGGAUGAAAAAUUGUAGGGUCAGGAUGAUAUUAGUCGGUUAGAGUUGAGUGAUCCCCCUAGGGUUGAGUGGUCCCCACUGGGUUAUAGUAUUUAAUCCAAUGGUUAGAAAUAAUGAAAAGAGUU
This 518-nucleotide long non-coding RNA is filed under the name Ananas comosus (pineapple). RNAcentral's name for it is "long non-coding RNA (ACOM_LNC029146)". Lineage: Eukaryota; Viridiplantae; Streptophyta; Magnoliopsida; Poales; Bromeliaceae. The record is from RNAcentral.